RNAcentral lists this long non-coding RNA (242 nucleotides) under Setaria viridis. Its description in RNAcentral is "long non-coding RNA (SVIR_LNC002599)". Lineage: Eukaryota; Viridiplantae; Streptophyta; Magnoliopsida; Poales; Poaceae. The record is from RNAcentral.
CGGAAUGGAGCUGGUAGCGUAGCAUCUCUGUCGGGGAAAAGAGGAGGGAACCCAGGUCACGACAGCAUAUAUUCCUGUCGCAGUUAGACAGCGUGGAUCGGCCUGUAUGGCUGUAUCCUACUACUACUACUUCUCGUACUGUACAUGAAAGGCGGGUGGGCCCCACGGGAGUGGCUGCUGUCAGGGACGCUGCUAAUACGCAAGGGAGCAGCAGGAGCUACUGGUUGGUGCAGGGAAUCCUG